Molecule: non-coding RNA, 91 nt
Organism: Mycena galopus ATCC 62051
Lineage: Eukaryota; Fungi; Basidiomycota; Agaricomycetes; Agaricales; Mycenaceae
Source: the annotation of a GenBank genome assembly
GCAUUAAUGGGGUAGUGGUAACCUGGGUCGUUGCCAUGACUGGAGCUUUGACACUCUCGACCCGCCGGGGGUUCGAUUCCCCCUUAAUGCA